Molecule: ribosomal RNA, 253 nt
Filed under: uncultured bacterium
Lineage: Bacteria
Description: partial 16S ribosomal RNA
Rfam family: Bacterial small subunit ribosomal RNA
Source: RNAcentral
UACGUAGGUGGCAAGCGUUGUCCGGAUUUACUGGGCGUAAAGAGCGCGCAGGCGGUCGGAUAAGUCGAAUGUGAAAGCCCCCGGCUCAACUGGGGAGGGUCAUUCGAUACUGUUCGACUCGAAGGCAGGAGAGGGAAGUGGAAUUCCGGGUGUAGUGGUGAAAUGCGUAGAUAUCGGGAGGAACACCAGUGGCGAAGGCGACUUCCUGGCCUGUUCUUGACGCUGAGGCGCGAAAGCUAGGGGAGCAAACGGG